ACACCAUCCGGAGCGGCCGAGAGACCCGGCUCGACGACGCCGCAGCAACCCCCCGCAGCAGCGGGUGCGGGUGCUCCAGCCGGGUUCGAUGGAGG
RNAcentral lists this non-coding RNA (95 nucleotides) under Pseudonocardia sp. RNAcentral's name for it is "SAM-I sequence". It matches the Rfam family "SAM riboswitch aptamer (S box leader)". Rfam says of the family: The SAM riboswitch is found upstream of a number of genes which code for proteins involved in methionine or cysteine biosynthesis in Gram-positive bacteria. The SAM riboswitch acts at the level of transcription termination control. The record is from RNAcentral. Lineage: Bacteria; Bacillati; Actinomycetota; Actinomycetes; Pseudonocardiales; Pseudonocardiaceae. RNAcentral also lists the same sequence under 1 other name.